This 433-nucleotide ribosomal RNA is filed under the name uncultured bacterium. Its description in RNAcentral is "bacterial SSU rRNA". It matches the Rfam family "Bacterial small subunit ribosomal RNA", at positions 378 to 793 of the family's 1533-position model. The record is from RNAcentral.
CAAGCCUGAUGCAGCCAUGCCGCGUGUGUGAAGAAGGACCUUCGGGUUGUUAAAGCACUUUCAGUCGUGAGGAAGGUGGUAGUGUUAAUAGCACUAUCAUUUGACGUUAGCGACAGAAGAAGCACCGGCUAACUCCGUGCCAGCAGCCGCGGUAAUACGGAGGGGUGCGAGCGUUAAUCGGAAUUACUGGGCGUAAAGCGCAUGCAGGUGGUUUUGUUUAAGUCAGAUGUGAAAGACCCGGGGCUCAACCUCGGAAUAGCAUUUGUAAACUGGCAGACUAGAGUACUGUAGAGGGGGGGUAGGAAUUUCAGGUGUAGCGGUGAAAUGCGUAGAGAUCUGAAGGAAUACCGGUGGCGAAGGCGGCCCCCCUGGACAGAUACUGACACUCAGAUGCGAAAGCGUGGGGAGCAAACAGGAUUAGAUACCCUGGUAG